RNAcentral lists this ribosomal RNA (488 nucleotides) under uncultured bacterium. RNAcentral's name for it is "partial 16S ribosomal RNA". It matches the Rfam family "Bacterial small subunit ribosomal RNA", at positions 28 to 523 of the family's 1533-position model. The record is from RNAcentral.
GACGAACGCUGGCGGCGUGCCUAACACAUGCAAGUCGAGCGGAGUUAGUUUGUAGCUUGCUACAAACUAACUUAGCGGCGGACGGGUGAGUAACGCGUGGAUAACCUGCCUUUUACAGGGGGAUAACACAGGGCAACUUGUGCUAAUACCGCAUAACAUAUAGAAGUGGCAUCACUUUUAUAUCAAUGGAGCAAUUCGGUAGAAGAUGGAUCCGCGUCCGAUUAGCGAGUUGGCGGGGUAAAGGCCCACCAAAGCGACGAUCGGUAGCCGAACUGAGAGGUUGAUCGGACACAUUGGGACUGAGACACGGCCCAGACUCCUACGGGAGGCAGCAGUGGGGAAUAUUGCGCAAUGGGGGAAACCCUGACGCAGCAACGCCGCGUGAAGGAUGAAGGCUUUCGGGUUGUAAACUUCUUUAGUCGGGGACGAAAAAAUGACGGUACCCGAAGAAUAAGCCACGGCUAACUACGUGCCAGCCGCCGCCGUAA